AUUUUCUUAUUUUACAUUGGCGAUAGCUCACAACUUACUGGAAUCCCCUCCCAGUUGGCUACCUUAAAAUGGCGGAAGCUAACAAUGGCAAUGACUAUGCUAUCUAUGAUGAGUCCUCUAUCUAUCUCUAUGACAACAGGCACAACUGCAAUAUAAAGUCGUUUCCCGAAAUGCCACGUAGGUCUACUUAUAUCAGUGCAUUCAACCUAACCAUUUCAACAUUUCUAUUCGAUCAAAUAAGCCUCAGGUAGCAAAUGAGCAAUUACAUUUUUGUUGACCAAAUUCGACUCUCUCGUUCACCUACAUACAAAAAUUCCUCACUUCGUGGGUUUAUUUCAUGGAAAGAUUUUAGGCGGAGUAAAACCUCUCGCUUCGCCUUUUCCUCUCUGUUCUAGCGCAGAGCUCGCUGUUUCUAGCAAGUGUAAACAAAAGGAAAUUGACAUCUUGCAGUCUUGCAUAUCUUGGAAAAGGCAAUCGGCGGAUUAAGCUUUUUACUUGUUGAGUAAAUCGCUAGCUACAUUUAUAUAGUAGUGUGUUAUUUGAGUAUUCAAUUUUGUGUAUAUCCUCGCGCCUUUUAAUUUGAGCUUCAGAUUGAGCAGAAGAAGUGGAAGUCAAAACAUGGUGGAGACACGCACAGAGUCCUUGGAUGACAGCUCCGAUGAUGAACCCCUAAUUGCAUUAGUAAAGAAGAAGCCGCAGCACAUUGAACACAAUGGGACUCCGGGUGAAAAAGACCAAAACCGACAACCUGAACCUGAGUCAAAGAAUAGCACAAGAAAAGAUUCUGGGUUGGAUGACACCUCAGAUGAUGAGCCUUUGACGAAGUUGGUGAAUAAACUUCCCAGCGCUAAAAAAUCCACUGUACAAGCAAAGAGGCCAGGGAAUACUAAUAGCAAAAGAGGAACAGGUAAUGGCAUCAAGAAGACAAACAACAAAUUCACAGGUUCAACCCAGAAUGAGGAUUCCUAUGACAGCUCAGACGAUGAGCCCUUGAUAAAGAUGGUUAAAAAGAUCCCUAAACAGACAUCAUUGCCAUUCAAAAAGAGACCCUUCAACACAGCCAGAGAGGUGAACGAUGUGAAGAAGCGCAGAAAUAUCUCACAGAAUAAAAUAAGCACAGACUCAUCAUCAAGUGACAGCUCAGAUGACAUGCCCCUGACUAAGAUGGUCGACAAACUCAAGACACAAAUGCGAACGAAGACACCCACCACUACAGUCAGAAAAACACCUGGCAUUAAAAAGCCCAGGAAAGUUUUAAAAAAACACAACAGGAGUAUAGAGACCUCAGAUGACAGCUCUGAUGAUGAGCCAUUAAUAAAUCUGACCAAGAAGUCUCCAUCUAAAGAGACUGAAAGGACAAUGCUGAAGAAGUGUGUCGCUAAGGAAUCAAACAGCAACAACUGUAAUAAAAUUAAAGGGAAAAUAAGCAGAGAGGAAGAGGUGAGUUCUGAUGACGAGCCCUUGAUAAAUCUAGUCAAGAAGCCUCUUAAAGCUGUAAAGAAGACCACGACACCAUUAAAGAAGAGGAGCGUAUCAGGAAAGACUGUGGUAGCCAGAAAGAAGACGAGACCAGACAUUGUGAACAAAGCAGUCAUCAGACGGAGCACCAAAGUUGUUCAAAGCACACGUGAAGGGUCUUUGGAUGACAGCUCAGACGAUGGGCCCUUGAGUAAAAAGAUGGUGAGAAAUCCACCAAUGAAGAGCCUAAUGCUGAUUCUGGAGAGAUGUGACACUAAAGAAGUCUUGGAAGAUAACUAUAGAGCCAACGUGGGAAACACCAGUAAAAGAAGUGCAGAAACUAUGGCAGAGAAGGAAAAUAAGUCACAAACGGCCCUAACGAUGAACCUUUGAUAAGGAUGGUUGGGAAACCAAAGUCAUGUUCGAGGGAUAUUAUAGAUACUGGAAUAGUGACUUUGUUUUGGGAAAACGUUGAGUAACAAACUUGUCGGGAAGAUGACACAAUUGUUACUAACCCAACAACCCCAUUUUUUUAUUGCAUGAGUUUAGUGUUAUGGUGAAAAGAAAUAUGUGAAUUGUCUAAAUAUUUUGGUGAUCUGGAAUCGCUAUUUUCAUGUUAGAAUUUUUUAGUGUUUUAAAUUUUGUAACUUUUUUUAUAAUUUUUUAAAACAUUUUUUUUUUACCACUUGGAUGCUGGUGGUUUCAUGUCAAUAGCAUAUUUAUAACCAUGCAAAAGUUGACUCACUCAAUAGGUCAAUUUUUUUAAUUGUUGCCAGUACUGUCUCCAGCAUAAUGAAUUAUAGAGUACAUUUGUGUGAUGAAAUGCAAUACCUUACUCUGUUCCUUUUGACUGGAAUGGGCCAUCACUGGAAGCAGUACUAUACAAUGUAAAUGUUCUUGUUUCAGUCCAAGUAUAAGGGCUUCCCAUUCAAUUAGCUUCUAGACAUCAGAACUGGGAUUAUUCACCUCAAAUUGGACGAGGAGUUCUUCUUCAAUGAGUCGGACGCGAGGGAUAUACUGCAGAUAUCCGACCAGGCCCCGGUCCCCGUGAUUCGCUAGAGAAGGAAACUGAGAUUUCAAGGCAAAAGAUAAGGGUGCCUUCUGAGGAUCAGGCGACGAGUGGCUAAUCUGCCUUCCAUUCUGCUGGCUAACUGUCACGCUCUGACCUAUGAGAGCUGUUUUUUCUCUGUGUAGUUAGGUCAGGGUGUGAUAUGGGUGGGCAGUCUAUGUUUGUUGUUUCUAUGUUUAGUUCUUGUUUUUCUAUUUCUAUGUUGAGUUUUGGGAUGAUCUCCAAUUAGAGGCAGCUGGUUCGUGUUGUCUCUAAUUGGAGAUCAUAUUUAAGUUGGGGUUUUUCUAUGGUGUUUUGUGGGUAGUUGUUUUCCGUUUUGUGGUUGUUGCCUGACGGAACUGUUUGCUGUCGUUUUUGUUCCUUUGUAAAGUGUUUCAUUUUUUCAUUAAAUAAUAACCCUGAGCACUCAACACGCCGCGCCUUGGUCCCAUCUAUACGACUGCCGAGUCGUAUAGAGUCGUGGCUGAACGAUGACAUUAAGAACAUAUGUGGUAGAAACUCUGACUCAGAUGACCUGGGAGCCAACAACAAAGAGACCACAUUCAAGUCCUCCAUCCCCUCACUCAUUCAAACGUAGGAACUGGUUCCUCCAGUCUGUCCCCUGCUUCCAUCAUCAACUCCAGAUCUGUAAACAUUAAAACCAAUAGAGGAUGACAACGAAAAUACUAUAGGCCUAUACGAAUUCCGUCAUUACAAUGAAACAAAUAUACUCCAAGAGAUAUGUAAUCUGGUGUCAUUAUCUCCAUCAUAAUCAUCCUGCAUCAUACCACCCUCCCUUCCUCUUCUUCUUCUAUGGCAUAUUGGUUUGAUUCGAAUUUAGCAUCCACUUCUGCCAUAUUCUUUUCCUCUUGGGUGUCUAUUUUGUCACAGGGCU
Molecule: long non-coding RNA, 3401 nt
Filed under: Salmo salar (Atlantic salmon)
Lineage: Eukaryota; Metazoa; Chordata; Actinopteri; Salmoniformes; Salmonidae
Description: lncRNA (ENSSSAG00000117529.1)
Source: RNAcentral